UCAAGCUAUAAAGAGCAUAGGGCGGAUGCCUAGGCACUAGGAGCCGACGAAGGACGUGGCAAGCUGCGAAAAGCCACGGUGAGCCGCAAGCAGGCAUUGACCCGUGGAUAUCCGAAUGGGGGAACCCACCUGAGGUAAUGCUCAGGUAUCCAUAGCUGAAUCCAUAGGCUAUGGAGGGAAUACCCGGGGAACUGAAACAUCUAAGUACCCGGAGGAGAAGAAAGAAAGAUCGAUUUCCUAAGUAGCGGCGAGCGAACGGGAAAGAGCCCAAACCGUAUACUCUACGGGGUAUACGGGGUAUGGACCGGCGGGAAGCACAUAUAAAUGCUAGACGAACCAUCUGGAAAGAUGGACCGAAGAAGGUGACAGUCCUGUAGUCGAAAGUAUUUAUAUAGCGAGCCGUGAUCCGGAGUAGCACGAGGCACGUGAAACCUUGUGUGAAGGCGGGAGGCCCACCUCCCAAGGCUAAAUACUCCCUAGUGACCGAUAGUGAAGCAGUACCGUGAGGGAAAGGUGAAAAGUACCCCGGGAGGGGAGUGAAAGAGUACCUGAAACCCUAUGUUUACAAUCGGUGGUAGCACUAUUGAUGUGCGACCGCGUACUUUUUGUAGAACGGACCGGCGAGUUAUUCCAUGAUGCGAGGUUAAGGACUAGGAGGUCUGAAGCCGUAGGGAAACCGAGUCUUAACAGGGCGAUAUAGUAUCAUGGAGUAGACCCGAAACCAGGUGAUCUAUCCAUGGACAGGAUGAAGCGGAAGUAAAAUUUCGUGGAGGUCCGAACCCACCAAUGUUGAAAAAUUGGGGGAUGAUCUGUGGAUAGGGGUGAAAAGCCAAUCGAACUUGGAGAUAGCUGGUUCUCCUCGAAAUAGCUUUAGGGCUAGCCUCAAGGAAGAUAAGUGGGGGUAGAGCACUGAAUGGGCUAGGGGGCCAACAAGCUUACCGAACCCUAUCAAACUCCGAAUACCAUAUUAUUGAUCCUUGGGAGUCAGACUAUGUGAGAUAAGUUUCAUAGUCGAGAGGGAAAGAGCCCAGACCAUCAGCUAAGGUCCCGAAGUGUAGGUUAAGUGGAAAAGGAUGUGGGAUUGCAGAGACAACCAGGAUGUUGGCUUAGAAGCAGCCAUUCAUUUAAAGAGUGCGUAAUAGCUCACUGGUCGAGUGAUCCUGCGCCGAAGAUGUCCGGGGCUAAAACCUACCACCGAAGCUAUGGGUUGUUGUAGGAUUGCCAAUGUUUUUGAUCAAUAGGUAUAGUAUGGAGGACAUUUUUGUCAAAAUCGCCAAUUGAAAUUAAUGAGAGAUUUUGACCAGAUGGUUCCAAAAGCUGAAACCUGGAUUAAAGAUGUUGGUAAUCCUACAACAGCGGUAGAGGAGCAUUGUAUACGGGCAGAAGCCAUACCGAAAGGAGUGGUGGACUGUAUACAAGAGAGAAUGCCGGUAUGAGUAGCGAGAGCGAAGUGAGAAUCUUCGCCGUCGAAAGCCUAAGGUUUCCUGAGGAAGGUUCGUCCGCUCAGGGUAAGUCGGGACCUAAGCCGAGGGCGAAAGCCGUAGGCGAUGGACAAUCGGUUGAGAUUCCGAUACCACCUUAAUUCCGUUUGACAGAAGCAGUGACACAGUAGGAUAGAUGGAGCGAGUUUAUGGAGAAACUCGUCCAAGCAGUGAGGGAGGCGUAUGAGUGAAGUACCAUAUGCCGGUAAUCCUGAGCUGUGAAGGGGACCGAAAACAAGUAGGGAAGCCAUUGAAUUCACACUGGCGAGAAAAGCUGCUAUGGAGGAGUUAGGGUGCCCGUACCGCAAACCGACACAGGUAGGCGAGGAGAGAAUCCUAAGACGAACGGGAGAACCCUUGUUAAGGAACUCGGCAAAAUGACCCCGUAACUUCGGGAGAAGGGGUGCCUGGGCAACCAGGCCGCAGUGAAUAGGCCCAAGCGACUGUUUAGCAAAAACAUAGGUCUCUGCUAACUCGAGAGAGGAAGUAUAGGGGCUGACGCCUGCCCAGUGCUGGAAGGUUAAGGGGACGUGUUAGCGCAAGCGAAGCAUAGAACCGAAGCCCCAGUGAACGGCGGCCGUAACUAUAACGGUCCUAAGGUAGCGAAAUUCCUUGUCGGGUAAGUUCCGACCCGCACGAAAGGCGUAACGAUUUGGGCACUGUCUCAACAAGGGACCCGGCGAAAUUGUAGUACCAGUGAAGAUGCUGGUUACCCGCGAUAGGACGGAAAGACCCCGUAGAGCUUUACUGUAGCCUGAUAUUGGAUCUUGGUACUGAAUGUACAGGAUAGGUGGGAGGCAUGGAAGUAUGGUCGCCAGAUUGUACGGAGCCGUCCUUGGGAUACCACCCUUUCAGUGCUGGGGUUCUAACCAUGGACCGUGACCCGGCUGUGGGACAUUGUCAGGUGGGCAGUUUGACUGGGGCGGUCGCCUCCUAAAGAGUAACGGAGGCGCCCAAAGGUUCCUUCAGAAUGGUUGGAAAUCAUUCGUAGAGUGCAAAGGCAGAAGGGAGCCUGACUGCGAGAGAGACAUUUCGAGCAGGUACGAAAGUAGGGCUUAGUGAUCCGGCGGUAUGUGAGUGGAAAUGCCGUCGCUCAACGGAUAAAAGCUACCUCGGGGAUAACAGGCUUAUCUCCCCCAAGAGUCCACAUCGACGGGGAGGUUUGGCACCUCGAUGUCGGCUCGUCGCAUCCUGGGGCUGGAGUAGGUCCCAAGGGUUGGGCUGUUCGCCCAUUAAAGCGGCACGCGAGCUGGGUUCAGAACGUCGUGAGACAGUUCGGUCCCUAUCCAUCGCGGGCGUAGGAAAUUUGAGAGGAGCUGUCCUUAGUACGAGAGGACCGGGAUGGACGUACCAAUGGUGAAUCAGUUGUUCCACCAGGGGCAUAGCUGAGUAGCCAAGUACGGACGGGAUAAACGCUGAAGGCAUCUAAGCGUGAAGCCCCCCUCAAGAUAAGAUUUCCCAUCCUAAAUGGAGUAAGACCCCUUGUAGAUUACGAGGUAGAUAGGUCGGAGGUGUAAGUGCAGUAAUGCAUUGAGCUGACCGAUACUAAUAGGUCGAGGGCUUGAUCAA
RNAcentral lists this ribosomal RNA (3050 nucleotides) under metagenome. Its description in RNAcentral is "bacterial LSU rRNA". It matches the Rfam family "Bacterial large subunit ribosomal RNA". The record is from RNAcentral.